AACAAUUAAGCUUGAACACAGCCAGUUUUGCCAGUCGUUCACUGAACCACGGUGUUGGCAAUUCCAUUGGCAAUAAUUGAUGCCAGUUGCACGUGCAAGGGGUUUUUCCUGCUGUAUCUAUAUUUUUCCAUAAGGUUCUGCAAACUUCAAAAAUCAAAUGUAUCAGAAUCCUAAAGAAUCAAAUGUAUCAGACCUGAGGAUGGUCCCAAGAAUCCUAAAGGCUCAACCAAAUGAGAGUAGUUGGUUCUGCUCCUAGGCUUGUCUUGCCUUUGUUUUUUUGUCGUUUCUUUUGUUAAAUUUGGUUGGUAUCGCCUUGGUUCUGCUCCAAGAACCAAAAGAUUCCUGUCCUGCAUAACGCUGCUACUCAGAAGUCAUAACCUAGUGAAUGGGGCAACUCUAACCUUUAAACAUUACACAGUAAGUAGCAAAAUUCCUCACAUUUUCCUUGGUUCGAAAUUGAAAGUGGCUCAAAUCAAUCUUUGUACAAAUACCAGAUAAGACUAGUCCUUCUCUUUUUAUCAAUGAGGAAAAUCAAACUCAUGAACUUAAAGAACAAGUAGAAAGGAGGAAAAUAAAACAAAAGAAGAUUCUCAAACAGAAGUUAAUUUGAUUAACCAUUAACUUUACACAUCAAGAAAGUCGUGCAUUAACUAAAAAGCUUCCCCAACAAAGCCUGAAGUUACCAAGUUAGCUUUUCUUUCCCUACUUUUCCAGUUUUCCACCAUUCUUUCCAACAAGUCUGGGAAUUUAAAGUUGCAUAAUGGUGAAAAGUAAUUUCUUCUCAAUGAAAACCACCCUGCAAUCACUUUCCCUCUCAAAACCCAGUUCAGAACUCAGAAUUCUGAAUAUUAUUACACCCCAAAAGGAGAGAAAAAAAAAGAUACACACUACAUUCAUACAUUCAAUUGUCAAAAGUGACAACCCCAACAAAGAUAGAAAAAACAGAGAGUAGCCACCAAGAAAAUAGCCUCUAAAACCGACGCAAUCCUGAAAAGCACAUCGUCAUGAAAAGAAGGAUGAAUGUUUAGCUUCUUCCACUUGAAAGCAGACCCCAAAAACUUCCACCUCCAUAACUCCUUCUUUAUCAGCCUCUUGAACAACACCCACCUCUUCGUCCUACCCAUCACUUUCACUUUUAGUUUGUCUUUUCUAGGCCUUGGCCUUUGAUUGGAGAAGAAGACGAGUUGGAGAGGUAGUUAUAUAUCGGAGAGGAAAAGUUCAGUUUCUUAAGAAACAAGGAUAAAAGGAAUAGUGGGGACUGGGGAGACAGGUUAGCAUUGGUGAGUCAAAAUCAGAAAUGGGAACAUGGUGUGGGUCCUGGGAAAGUUGGAAUUUUGGAGUUUUUCAAGAAACCGUCCCUUGGCGAUGAUAGUGCGGGAGAAGGUCAACAAAUUUAUAAUUAAUUAGUACUGGGAAACUGGGAUGGAAUGUUUGGGCCACCAGUCCACGCUCCAUCGCUAGAUGGGAAGAAACUGAGAAACCAACCGUGCGCGUUGAAUCUAUCUUUCAAGUAGAAGGUUCUUUCUCCGUAGAUACGUAUAUUUGCAUUAUAUAAAAUAUUAAUAAUUUAUAUAUUUAUAUUAUAUUUUAUAUAAAAAUUAUAUAUUAUAAUUUAUAUUAAUAUAA
RNAcentral lists this long non-coding RNA (1626 nucleotides) under Durio zibethinus. RNAcentral's name for it is "long non-coding RNA (DZIB_LNC001509)". Lineage: Eukaryota; Viridiplantae; Streptophyta; Magnoliopsida; Malvales; Malvaceae. The record is from RNAcentral.